RNAcentral lists this long non-coding RNA (6888 nucleotides) under Homo sapiens (human). RNAcentral describes it as "non-protein coding lnc-CA5A-4:3". Lineage: Eukaryota; Metazoa; Chordata; Mammalia; Primates; Hominidae. The record is from RNAcentral.
CCGUGUGCGACUUUGACCGCCGCACGAUCCUCUGCCGGGGGAGGUGGGCCCGCUGCGCUUUGGGAGCACCCGCGCCCGACACUGAGGUCUCGGUGCUGUGUUCGGCCUCUUCGUCCCUGCGGGUCCCCUCUGGGAGCAGAGGCGGUCGGAAAACCCUGGGGCUGAAGUGCAGGCUUCGGGAGGACGCGACCUGCCAAGAUCAGCUCCCGGCACGUGAUGGGAGCCUGGCUCACCUUCCCCCAGCGCACGAUGGGCCGCAGCCUCCCCGGUCGGCCUGGCCUGCUGGAAAGGAGCAGCUCUGUUUCCAGAGGCUUCUGGCGAAGCCCACGGCCUCCCAUUGUUGGCUGAUUUAUAAGGAAAGAGGGGAAAGGCCAAGUGUGGAUGCCAUUAGCAUAACCUAAUCCAGACCCCAUGACAAGUCCAGGAUCCUGCAGGGAGAGGGCAUCCUUGAACGUGAAGGACUGGCUUUGGAAACUUGGCCUCCCGGAAGAAAGGUCUCCGGGCCCACCCACACCCACCUUGUGGACGCCCCCGCAGUCGAAUACACUCCACAGGAAGACGGACCACAAACAGCAGCAGCCUCCGGUGUCGGCCCAGUGAUCCGGGAGCUCAGAGUGUAGGUACCUGACGGCUUGACUCGUCCCCAGGACAAGGCCUGUGAGAGGGAGGGGGGCACUCUGAGUGUGCGAAUGUGUGAGUGUGUGUGUCUGGGCACGAGUGUGUAUGCGUGUGUGUGUGCAUGUACUAUAUUCACAUGUGUGAGAGUGUGAAUGUGUGUGUCUGUGGGUCUGCGCACAUAAGUGUGUGUGUGCAUAUACUAUAUUCACGUGUGACUGUGCAAAUGUGAGUGUGUCUGUAGGUCUGGGCACGUGUAUGCGUGUGUGUGCGAGUACUAUAUUCACAUGUGUGAGUGUGCGAAUGUGUCUGUGGGUCUGGGCACACGAGUGUGUAUGCGUGUGUAUGCAUGUACUAUAUUCACGUGUGUGAGUGUGCGAAUGUGUCUGUGGGUCUGGGCACAUGAGUGUGUGCAUAUACUAUAUUCACAUGUGUGAGUGUGCAAAUGUGAGUGUGUCUGUAGGUCUGGGCACAUGUGUAUGCAUGUGUGUGCGAGUACUAUAUUCACGUGUGUGUGAGUGCGAAUGUGAGUGGGUGUGGGUCUGGUCACAUGUAUGUAUGCAUGUGUGCAUGUAUUAUAGUCAUGUGAGUGUGCAAAUGUGUGAGUGUGGGUCUGGGCACACAAGUGUGUAUGCAUGUGUUUCUAUUGUAUUCAUGUGAGUAUAAGUGCAAAUGUGUGUGUGUUCUCUGCACACACAAGUGUAUAGGUAUGUUUGUGUGUGCAUGCAUUGUAUUCAUGUGAGUGUAUGUGAAUGUGUGACUGUGAGAGUUUGAGUGUGCCUGUGUGUCUGGCUAUACUAGUGCGUGCCUGUGUUCGUGUGCAUCAGUCUGGGUGUGCCCGUGUGUGAAUGUGAGUGUCUAUGCGUGGGUGUCCCAAUAUGUGUGUGCCUGUGUAUCCAUGUCUGGGUGUGCCCGUGGGUGUGAGUGUCUGUGCGUGGGUGUCUGGAUACGUAUGUGCCUGUAUGAGUGUGUAUCCAUGUCUGGGUGUGCCCACGGGUGUGAGUGUGAAUAUGUAAGUCUUGCGUGUGCAUGAGUGUGUUCACAUGAGUGUGAGGGUCUGUGCAUAACAGCCUAUUGUGUGAGUGUGUGCAUGUGGAUUGCAUUUAUGUGAGUCCGUGUCUGUGCACGCACGUGUCCCCGCACAAGCCAGCCCGAGAGGGAGUGUCCCCUGAACACACCCUGGCAGCACUUGCAGCGUGACGAGGUUGAGGGAAUGUGUCGCUGAGGUCGUAAAUGCCUCUCGCACGUCCCAACACGCUGGAGCAACAGCAGCCCGUGACGCCGGCCGUGCAGCCGUGAAGUCCGUGGAGCGUCCCUAAUCACUGGGGGUUCUGCUUUGCGGCGACAGCGGUGCUACUCACAGCUCCAGAACUCUGCAGCUUCCCCCCUGAAACGGGAACGGGAAGGUGGCGCGGGCGUCCACACCUCGAGCCACAGCCGGCGGGAGGCACAGGCUGGCAAAACUGCCUCUCAGUAGUGAGAAGAGACAAACAAACCGAACGCCAGGAGCAGAGGAAACGAAGACGAUGUGGCCAAGAAAAAUUGCAUUUUUCUUUCCAGUUUUGCUAAAAUAGCCUUCUCAUUGGCUGCGGCUUUGGAGGUGGCAGAAAUCAUACGUUUAAUCACGGCGCCCUCCUGCUUGCCAAGCUUUGCGUCCUCCAGAAUUGUCCUGUGAGUGACUCCCACAGGAUGGAGACUUUUGUGUCUGGCUUCCUUCACUUCGCAGCAGGCUUCGCGGGACCCGUGUGGUGGCACCAGCGUCCCGCCCUUGGUGCUGCUGAGCUGUAGGUUGUGGGACAGGUGGAGGUACACAGUUGCUCACGGGUUCACCUGUGGAUGGGCAUGUGGGCUGUUGUGAGUGAAGCCACUUUAGACAUUUGCGUGCAGGUUUGGUGGGGACGUGCAGUUUCAUUUCUUUUGAGAGUGGGAUUGCUGGAGCCCGUGUUAAGGGUACGUUCAACUCAUCAGCUCAACUGUCUUCCAAAUGGCAGCCCCGUUUUCCACCCCCGCCAGCAACGCCCGCGACUCCAGGCGCGCGGCAUUUUCAUCAGCACCUGGCAGUGGUGAUUCAUAAUGCUUUCAAUGUUAAUUUCCCUCAUGACUAGUGAUGUUAAACAUCUUAGGUAUUAUUUCAUGGGUUAUUUCCAAUCUUUUACCUACUUUUUAGUGGAUUAUAUUUGUCUUCUUAGUAUUGAGUUAUAAGAGUUAAAUAUUGUGGGUACAAGUCCCCUGUCAGAAAUGUGUUUUGUAAAUAAUUUCUUCUAGUCUGUGGUUUGUCUCUUCAUUUUCUUAAGUAUGUCUUUAAAGAGCAGAGGCUUUUGAUUUGGAUAAAGUUCAGUUUGUCAGUUUUUUCUUUUAGGGUUAUGUUUUUGUAUCCUAUCUAAGAAUCUUUGACUAUCAAAUUCUCACAAAGCAGUUUUUUGUUUUCUUCUAGAUGUUUUACGGUUUUAAAUUUUACCUUCAGGUCUACAACCAUUGUGAUUUAGAUUUUGUAUUUAAUGUAAGGUAUAAGUUGAGAUUCAUUUCUCUCUGUUUUUGGAGACUUAUGUCCAGCUAUUCCAGAACCAUUUGUUGGAAAGAGUAUCUUUAUCCCAUCAAGUUAUGUGGGCACUUUGUUGAAAAAGAUCUAUUGACCAUAUAUACAUGCGUUUAUUUCCAAGACUCUAUUUUGUUUUGUUGACUGACUUGUUUGUCCUUAUGACAAUAUCACACUGUUUUGAUUACAGUGGCAUUAUUGUACCUCUUGCAAAAAUCAAGUGUGAAUCUUCCAAAGAAGAUUUGGAAGAUUUUCUCUUUCAAAGUUGUGUGAGUUAUUUAAGUGCCUUUUAAUUUUCAUAUAAGUUUAGAAUUAGCUUGCAGUUUCUAAAAGAAAAAAAAAGUCUGAUGAGACUUUGAUUGUGAUUCCAUUGGAUCUAUAGCUCAGUUUGCAGGGAUUUACAUCUUAACAAUACUGAGUCCUCAAAUCCAUGAACAUGGUACAUCUCUCCAUUUAUUUAGGUCUUCUUGUAUUUUUUCUCAUCAACAUCUUAUAGUUUUAAGUAAACAAAUUUUGCACAUAUUUUGUAAGAUUUAUCAUUAAGUAUUUCAUGUUUGUGAUGUUAUGGUGAAUAUUGUUUUUAAAUUCAAUUUCCUAUUGUCCACUGCUAGUAUAUGGAAAUACAAUUGGUUUUCAUACAUUAACCUUAUGUCCAGCAACUUUGCUAAAUGUAUAAGCUCUUACACAUUUUCUGGUAGAUUGUUUAGGAUUUUCUACAUCGAUGAUCAUGUUGAGUGCAUAUAAAGGCAAUUUUAUGUCUUAUUUCCAAUCUGCAUGCCUUUCACUUCUUUUCCUGGCUUUAUUUCAGUGGCCAGAACCUCUAGCACAGUGUUAAUAAGAGUGAUGAGAGUGACAUUCUGACUUUGUUUCCAGUCUUUCUGCUUCGAUCAUUAUCAUAUUCUUUCUUUUCCUUACUUUGAAUUUAUUGUGCUCUUCCUUUUCUAGGCUUUUAAGGGUAGAAGCUUAGAUUACUGAUUGGAGAACUUUCUUCUUUUCACAUAUAUACAUUUAAUGCUAUAAAUGUUCUUCCAAGCACUGCCUUGCCAGCACCUACAAAUUGUCAUAUGUAUUUUCUUUUUUGCUCAAUUAAUUUUUUUUCUAAUUUCUCUUUGGAUUUUUUGAUCUAUCAGUCAUUUUAAAAUAUGUUCUUUAACUUCCAAAUAUUUGAAGAGACAUACUAUUAAUUUCUGGCUUAAUUCUGUUGUGGCCACAUAUUUCGCAUAACUUCACUUUUUAAAAUUUGUUGAGAUCUGUUUUACGGCCUGGAAUAUGGUCUAUCUUGGUGAAUGCUCCAUGUGCAUUUGUAAAAAAGUGUGUAUUCUGGCCGGGAGUGGUGGCUCACGCCUGUCAUCCCAGCACUUUGGGAGGCCGAGGCGGGUGGAUCACGAGGUCAGGAGAUCAACACCAUCCUAGCCAACACAGUGAAACCCCGUCUCUACUGAAAAUACAAAAAAUUAGCCAGGCGUGGUGGCGGGCGCCUGUAGUCCCAGCUAUUCGGGAGGCUGAGGCAGGAGAAUUGCUUAAAGCUGGGAGGCGGAGCUUGCAGUGAGCUGAAAUCGUGCCACUGCACUCCAGCCUGGGCGACAGCGAGACUGCGUCUCAAAAAAAAAAAAAAAAAGUGUGUAUUCUGCUAAUAUUGAAAGUAUUGCUUAAUAAAUGUCAAAUCAAUCAAUUUGGAUGAUAUUGUGAUUCAGGGUUCUACAUCCUUACUGGUUUCCUGUCUACUUCUUCUAUAGCUUACAGAGAGGAGUAUUGGAGGAGUAUUGAAGUUUCCAACGAUACUCAGGGAUUUUUCUAUUUCUUCUUUACUUUGUGAUCCAUGUGUUUUGAAAUUCCGCUGUUAGGUGCAAGCAUAUUUACAACUGCUAUAUUUUCCUACAGAAUGGCACUUUUAUUUGUUUGUUUGUUUGUUUGUUUUUUGAGACAGAGUCUCUCUGUCACCCAGGCUGGAGUGCAGUGGGACCACGUUGGCUCACUGCAACUUCCAUCUCAUGGGUUCAAGCAAUUCUCCUGCCUCAGCCUUCUGAGUAGCUGGGAUUACAGACACCCACUACCACGCCCGGCUAAUUUUUUUAUAUUUUUAGUAGAGACAGGGUUUCACCAUGUUGGCCAGGCUGGUCUCGAACUCCUGACCUCAGGUGAUCCACCCGCCUCGGCCUCCCAAAGUGCUGGGAUUACAGGUGUGAGCCACCGCGCCUGGCCAGAAUGGCACUUUCAGGAUCAUAUAAUGUAUCUAUUCAUCUCUGGUAAUAUUCCUUGUUCGGAUAUCUAUUUUAUCUGAUACUAACAUCUCCGCCCCAGCUUUCUUUUAAUAGUUCAGAAUAUAACUAUUUCUGUCCCUUACCUUCAAUCCACUUAUGUUUUUAUGUUAUUUUUUUUUUCUUUUGUAGACAGCAUAGAGUUGGAUCUUGUUUUUAUAUCUACCCAACCUAAAAAUCUGGAUAUUUUUAUUGGGAAGUUGAAUUUAAAUCUACCACCUUGACAUUUAUUUUGUAUUUGUCUCGUCUGUUCUUUUUAAAUAAUUUUUCCGUUUUUCUUCCUUCUAUUGGAUCAAGUACUUUUUUUUAAAGUGAAAGCCAAUUUAUUAAGAAAGUGAAGGAAUAAAAGAAUGGCUACUCCAUAGGCAGAGCUGCUGAGUAUUUUUUAUUAUUUCAUUUUAUCUUCACUAUUGCCUUGUUAUACCUCUUAGUGUAGCUGUUCAUGGUUGCAGUAGGGCUUAUGAUAAAGUUACAGCUGUAGCUUCUCAGUCUGCCAUUACACAAUAUUCUACCACUUCACAUACAUGUAGUAACCUGACAGCAAGGCCUGUACUUCCUCCCUCCCAUACUUGGUACUGUUGUUACCACAGAUUUGCUUCUGCAUGUUACAAACCCCACAAUACACUUUUCCCGUCUUUGCUUCAGGUAGUCAAUUAUCUUUCUGUCUUUGGAUAUCUUUUUAAAGAUAUAAUCCACAUACAUAAAAUGCACCCAUUUGAAGCAUGCAGUUCCAGAGACCAGAGGUUCUCAAACUCUGUAUGGGAAUCACACAGGUUCCUGGUAAAAGGCAGACUUCCAGGCCCCUGCUGGAGUUUCUGACUCAGCAGGUCUGGGUGGGGCCUGAGAAUCUGAAUUUAUAGCAAGUUCACAGGUGAACAUUUGUGUGGCUAUCAAGGGACACCUGGGGCCGGGCAACUUCUAAAGAAAAGUGGUUUCUUUGGCUCACAGUUCUGCAGGCUGUACAAGAAGCCUGGCAACAGAAUCUGCUUCUGGUGGGGCCUCCGGCUGCUCCUGCUUAGGGUGGAGGGUGAAGGGGAGCCAUGUGUGCAGAGGGCACAGUGGGAGAGGAAGCCAAAGGGAGGGAGGGGCCACGCUCUUUUAACACCUGGCUCACGCAGGAACUAAUUGAGCAAGGGCUCGUUCAUGACUGCCAGGUGGGGUCGGCAGGAAGCCAUUCCUGAGGGACCUGACCCUUGACCCAAACCCCCGCCCGUAGGCCUCACUCCAACACUGGGGAUACAUUUCAACAUGAGAUGUGGAGGGGACACACGUCCAAACCACAGCACCAGGCAAUGCUUACACUGCGGGUCUGGGGCCCACUCCGAGAAUGACUGCUCCGGACAAAAUUACACACACGGACCACGCACCCACCCACAGGAUCACACGCCCGUCUUCGGGUUGGGGGUGCAGGGAGGACGGGUAGAGAUGUGUUGGGGUGCAAAGGAAAAGUCCUCAUGGCCCACAUAUGUGCUCUGACCC